This 253-nucleotide ribosomal RNA is filed under the name uncultured bacterium. Its description in RNAcentral is "partial 16S ribosomal RNA". It matches the Rfam family "Bacterial small subunit ribosomal RNA", at positions 524 to 776 of the family's 1533-position model. The record is from RNAcentral.
UACGUAGGUGGCAAGCGUUGUCCGGAUUUAUUGGGUUUAAAGGGUGCGUAGGCGGCCCUGUAAGUCAGUGCUGAAAUAUCCCAGCUUAACUGGGAGGGUGGCAUUGAUACUGCGGGGCUAGAGUACAGAUGAGGUAGGCGGAAUUGACGGUGUAGCGGUGAAAUGCUUAGAUAUCGUCAAGAACACCUAUAGCGAAGGCAGCUUACUAGGCUGUAACUGACGCUGAGGUACGAAAGUGUGGGGAUCAAACAGG